This is a non-coding RNA of Termitomyces sp. 'cryptogamus', 97 nucleotides long. NCBI's taxonomy places the organism in Eukaryota, Fungi, Basidiomycota, Agaricomycetes, Agaricales, Lyophyllaceae. The record is from the annotation of a GenBank genome assembly.
UCCCUCUUAGCUCAGUGGUAGAGCGCGUCACUAGUAGAUUUCGAUAAUCUGAAAUCCAUCUAUGACGAGGUCAGUCGUUCAAGUCGGCUAGAGGGAA